This 376-nucleotide unclassified non-coding RNA is filed under the name uncultured Thermoleophilia bacterium. Its description in RNAcentral is "contains 16S-23S intergenic spacer region". The record is from RNAcentral. Lineage: Bacteria; Bacillati; Actinomycetota; Thermoleophilia.
UCCGAGUUGACCCCGGCAGUCUCCCAUGAGUCCCCAACCAAAUGCUGGCAACAUGGAACGAGGGUUGCGCUCGUUGCGGGACUUAACCCAACAUCUCACGACGCGAGCUGACGACAGCCAUGCACCACCUGUGAUCGCGCCCCGAAGGGAAGGUAUGUUUCCACACCGGUCGCGAACAUGUCAAGCCCAGGUAAGGUUCUUCGCGUUGCGUCGAAUUAAACCACAUGCUCCGCUGCUUGUGCGGGCCCCCGUCAAUUCCUUUGAGUUUUAGCCUUGCGGCCGUACUCCCCAGGCGGGGCACUUAGUGCGUUAGCUGCGGCACGGAAGGAGUCGACACCUCCCACACCUAGUGCCCAUCGUUUACGGCGUGGACUAC